GUCGCAGAGGUGUUCGAAAAAUUGACAGGGAUAACUCCGUUGUACGUGACAAGCGCCUCUAGCGAUGCU
RNAcentral lists this ribosomal RNA (69 nucleotides) under Scrippsiella hangoei. RNAcentral's name for it is "partial Eukaryotic large subunit ribosomal RNA". The record is from RNAcentral. Lineage: Eukaryota; Dinophyceae; Peridiniales; Peridiniaceae.